GAUGAACGCUGGCGGCGUGCCUAAUACAUGCAAGUCGAGCGAACGGACGUGAAGCUUGCUUCUCUGAUGUUAGCGGCGGACAGGUGAGUAACACGUGGAUAACCUCCCUAUAACACUGGGAUAACUUCGGGAAACCGGAGCUAAUACAGGGUAAUCGUUUUAACCGCAUGGUUCAAAAGUGAAAGACGGUCUUGCUGUCACUUAUACUUGGAUCGGAGCUGCAUUAGCUAGUUGGUAAGGUAACGGCUUACCAAGGCAACGAUGCAUGGCAGACCUGAGAGGUGGACGGCCCCCACGGGAAUGGGACCACGGUCAGGACUCUUCCGGGAGGAAGCAGUGGGGAAUCUUCGGCAAUGGGCGAAGUCCUGCCGGAGCAACGCCGCGGGAGUGAUGAAGGUCUUCGGAUCGUAAACCUCUGUUAUUAGGGAAGAACAUAUGUGUACGUAAAUGUGCACGGCUUGACGGUACCUAAUCAGAAAGCCACGGCUAACUACGUG
RNAcentral lists this ribosomal RNA (497 nucleotides) under uncultured bacterium. RNAcentral describes it as "partial 16S ribosomal RNA". It matches the Rfam family "Bacterial small subunit ribosomal RNA", at positions 28 to 507 of the family's 1533-position model. The record is from RNAcentral.